This 18104-nucleotide long non-coding RNA is filed under the name Octopus vulgaris (common octopus). The record is from RNAcentral. Lineage: Eukaryota; Metazoa; Mollusca; Cephalopoda; Octopoda; Octopodidae.
AUUGACACGUCAAUCUAAGGCAAUAAUUGUCUCUUGCAAUACGUUUGGCGCCACAGAACAAGCAUUGCCGUACACAAGUAAGUGAUGGAGCAUGCGCAAUUCUAUAAAAUCUGACAAAACAUAUCACAGCACUCCAUUCGUCACAGUAAUCACGUUGGAUGUAAAGUUUAUUCCUCUUCUUCGUAUUAUCAUUAUUAUUAUUAUUAUUAUUAUUAUUAUUAUUAUUAUUAUUAUUAUUAUUAUUAUUAUUAUUAGUGUUGUUGUUGUUGUUGUUGUUGUUGUUGUUGUUAAGGCGGCGAACUGGCAGAAUUGUUAGAACGCCAAGCGAAAUGCAUAGCGGUACGUCGUCUGCUGCUACAUUCUGAGUUCAAAUUCCGCCGAGGUCCACUUUGCCUUACAUCCUUUCGGGGUCGAUAAAAUAAGUAUCAGUUGAAUACUGGGGUCGAUGCAAUCGUCUUAACCCCUCCCCCAAAAUUACUGCCCUUGAAGCAAAAUUUGAAACCAUUAUUGUUGUUGUUGUUGAUGGUGUUAGUGGUGGUGGUGUUGAUGAUGUUAACAAUGAUGAUGAUGAUGAUGAUGAUGAUGAUGAUGAUGAUUAUGAUGAUGAUGAUAACGAUAUUGUUGUUGUCGUCAUCGUCGCUGUUCCUGGCAGAAUCGUUAGCACGCCGGGCAAAAUGCUUAGCCACAUUUUGUCCGUCUUUACGUUUUGAGUUCCAAUUCCACCGAAGUUGACUUUGCCUUUAAUCCUCUCGGGGUCGAUAAAAUAAGUACCAGUUGAGUGCUGGGACCAACGUAAUCGAUUUACCCCUCCCUUGAAAUUGCUGGCCUUGUUCCAAAAUUUGUAAUCAUUAUUAUUAUUAUUAUUAUUGCUGUUAUUAUUUUCGUUGCUAUUUCUUUAUAAAAAAAAAGUCACAAUUUUUAUUCAGUUACAUUACAUAACGAUUUCCUCUUUUUCCAUCUUGCUUUAUUUUUUCCCUUGUUUUUCUUUCGCUCAUUUUCAGUCUCUCUCUCUCCCUCCCUCUCUCUCCCUCCCCCUCUCCCUCUCUCUUUUACACGCACACAUACACGCACAUACUCUUUCUCAUACAACCACUAUAUAUGUAUAUAUAUACCUACAUACAUACACUCAUACAUACAUACAUAUACAGACACACACAUACACUCACACAUACACAUGCAUACAAAAAUAUGCGAAAAUAUACGGUCAACCUCAUACACAUACAAAUAUAUCUAUCAGUAGCAAUUGUAAAUUUCUUCUCUCCUUCUCUCCGCUUCUCUCUCUCUCUUUCUCUCUCUCUCUCUCUCUCUCUCUCUUUCUCAACCCUCUCCUUUCGCUCUCUCAUGUUUUCCAGUUCAUUCUGCUUGUAUUCUUAUACUUUUUCCUCUCUCUCAUUCACUCUCUGAACUAUCAUAAGGAUGUAUGUGUGUGUGUGUGUGUGUGUGUGUGUGUGUGUAGAUGUCUGCAUAAAUAAGUUUGUGUUUAGCAAGUGGUUUUUCUCCCUAGCUUUCCAGAUCCGGUGACACCGGUGAAUUCAUCGGAGUUAAUGUUAUUGAACAUUUGCAAAUUAACAGUGACAGAACGAUACGAGCGAAGAAGGAAUUCCAGAGGAUCGAGCUUGAAACAAGUGAACUGGGGCCAAUCUAUGAAUAAAAGAUAGAGGAAGGUGGUGGUGAUGGUGGAAGGAAUAUUACGAAAGAAAGAAAGAAAGAAAGAAAGAAAGAAAGAAAGAAAGAAAGAAAGAAAGAAAGAAAGAAAGAAAGAAAGAAAGAAAGAAAGCGAGAAAGUGAGAAUGUUUUGUAGAUUUAAGAGAACUGGGUUUAGCGGCUAGCUUUCCCUUCAUCAUUGUCGUCGUCUCUGUGAAUGCCACCUCUUUCCGUUUCGUGUUUUUCUGUCUUAAGAAUAAACUAAAUUUUUGUCUACGUUUAGAACAACUAAAGCAUUCGUUACUGAGAAGAACAAAUAGAGUCGAAACGCCAUAUCUGGUAAUCCACUUUCUGUAGAAGUAGUCUUUUAAUGAAGAUAGAUCUGUCAGCACUAAUUUUUUGCGGUGUAUUUAAUUUUGCUAAAUCGUAGCAAGGAUGGAGAUUGAGAAAGUGUAAGUUACAGAAAAGGAGUAGAUAGUUAAAAACUGUUUGACAAACAAUGAUGCUUGCAUGUAUAAACAUAUAUAUAUAUAUAUAUAUAUAUAUAUAUAUAUAUAUAUAUAUAUAUAUAUAUAUAUAUAUAUACACAUAUACAUACAUAUAUAUACAUAUAUACAUACAUAUAUAUAUAUAUAUAUAUAUAUAUAUAUAUAGACAGAGAGAGAGAGAGAGGGGGGAGAUAGAUAGAUAGAUAGAUAGAUAGAUAGAUAGAUAGAUAGAUAGAUAGAUAGAUAGAUAGAUAGAUAGAUAGAUAGAUAGAUAGAUAGAUAGAUUAUAUCUCCUUUGCACGUGUUGUGCUAAAAAAACAAAAUAUAAAUCUCCGGAUGAAUACUGCAGUAAAUUUAACUUUCAGUAAUGUAUUGAUAUUAAGCAUGAUACAGAGGUGGCUAUUUUAAUCUAAUACUGCUUCUCGGCGUGGGUAUGUAGGAAGAAGUUUGCUUCUCAGCCAUAUGGGUUCGAGGUCAGCCCCAUCCGAAGCCUUGUGAUUGGAUCUGGUAGGCGGAAACUGGAAGAAACCCGUUCGAUUUACAUAUACACAACCUUGUUGCUUUGUUUGUGUCCCCGUAACUUAGCGGCUCGGCAAAAGAAACCGAUGAAAUAAAUACCAGGUUUUAAAAAUAUAGUUGGGGCAGAUUCGAUCGACUAAAAUACUUCGAGGUGGUGCCCCAGCAUGGUCGCAAUAUCUAAGACUAAAACAAAUAAAAGAUAUUUAUAUAUAUGCUAUGAUCAAGUCAUCCCAGUAAGCCCCAUUCUUUACACUAUUAACUCCUAUCAAAAGAGCAAGUACACGAAAUUAUAUCAAAUAAAACUACUCAACUAAGGAUCGAACCCGCAUAGCAGACUCGGUUGCUUAUUACCAUACAAAACGGUGCCAGCACUCGAACUCCUAUUCAUCAACGUAACUCCAAGUUUUUAUGCUAAAGUAAACUUACUAUUUUCUUAAGUCUGCUGCAAGCUGUUCGUGUCGGCUGUCUUUUAUCAAGACAUUUAACCAUUCUUUGCUUAAUAAAAGCAAAUACAAUUCAUCGAUAGCCAGUUACUAAGACCUAAUAGUUUGAGGCACCAAAUUACGAACUCCCGGUCAUUGCUAUAUAUCCAUACGCGAGACACUUCACUUCCGACCGGAAGGCUACGUAUUCAUUCUUUAUUAAUUUAUUCAUGACGCUUAGGCACCAGUUUCAAAUCUAUUUCGGAACCAGUCGAUAUAAAAAUACAAGCACUUUUGAAAAUAUUAUUUUUCAUUACACACUCUCAUCGUAACUUAUCGCUAUAAUUCUAUAAUUUAAAUGUUCCGUCUGGAAAAGCGGAAGUGAUGACAGAAAAUGUCUGUCUUCCUCCCUCUCUGACUCUUUGUAGUUUCUGCAACGAUCAUCAUUUCUACACAAAUUCAACCUUUUCUCGCAGUAAUACAAAGAAAGAAAAGCGCAGAUUUAACUGCCUAAGCCCAGAGGGGGUGGAAAAUGUAGAAAAAAAUAUUGAAAAAUUUAUCAAAAGAAUAUAAAAUUAUUGAAAUAAGCGUGGUUUAUGAGGGCGCGAAUAUCUUAACAUUAUGGUGGAAGGUUAUGAUUGGGGAAAUAGUUGCUGUAACAACUAAUAAAUUACGUAUCCUUUUUAUCAAGCCACUCCCAUUCUUUUAGUGCUAAAUAAUGGCUCGUUAUAUCUAAUAAUGUGAUAUUUCUCUGUCUCCUUCAAUCUUCGAAUAAAAGAUGGAGGAAGGUGGUGGUGGAAGGAGUAUUACGAAAGCAAGAAAGAAAGAGAGAGGGAGAGUGUAUUGUAGAUUAAAGAGAUCUUUAAUGUCUUGAAGUGUAGUUUUUGUGUUUUCCCGAAGGAAUGAAGUAAAACAAAAUAACAGAAUCGAACAUUAUGUAUGAAUUUGUAUGUGUGUGUGUGUGUGUGUGCAUACAGAAAAAGACACACACACACACACACACACACACACAGAUAGAUAGAUAGAUAGAUAGAUAGAUAGAUAGAUAGAUAGAUAGAUAGAUAGAUAGAUAGAUAGAUAGAUGUAAAGGAGGGCAAAUCAAAACUUACACGUGCUCAUGUUUCCGAGGUUGAACAAUUACAUCAUUUUCUGACAUAGUUUCCUUGCUUUUCGGUGCACUUCAUCCAGCGGUCCACAGGCUUGCUUAUUCCAUCGGAGAAGAAGGUUUUCAGUUGGUCGCGAAGCUAUUAAUGCAUUGCUUCCGACGCCUCUUUGUCCGUAGCAAAUCGACGACCUUACAAAAAUAUACUUGAGCGGUCCAAAGAAGUGAUGGACUGUAUGCAAGAUGUUCCAGCGUCUCGAAAGUCAAUCUUUCAAUGGUUUCCACGGUGUGGAUGGCCAUAUGUGGUUGUGCAUUGUCGUGCAACAAUAACACUUGCUUUGACAAUAGACUUCGGCGUUUGAUGCGAAUUGCUGGUUUCAGAUUUUUGGCCAGCAUUUUACUGUAGCCUACACUGGUAACUGUAGACCCCUUUUCCAGGUAAUGUUCCAGAAUAGGCUCUUCUGCGUCUCAAAAAACGGUUAGCAUCAUUUUUUCUGCGGAAGGUUGAGUCUUGAAUUACUUUUUCGCUGGCGAUUCGGGGUGUUUUCAAUCCAUAUUCUGCUUUUGGAUUCAGGCACAAAGUGAUGCGCCCAGGUCUCAUCUCCUAUGACUAUUCUUUCCAAAAGUGCUUCGCCUUCAUCGUUGAGGCGGUCGAAUUAGUGUUGACAGAUAUCCAAACAAUUAUGCUUAUGCGCUUCGCUAUGCUUUUUUGGCACCCAUCUCGCACAGACUUUACGGAAGCAGAGCUUGUACUUGAUUUCGUAUGCAGAAGCAUGACUAAUUUGCAGAGAACAUGCCACCUCAUCGAUGGACACUCGUCGGUUCGCCAGAACCAUCUCUCGAGCUUGUUGAAUCUUCACAUCAUUGGUGGAGAUGAUUGAGUAGUUAACGCUUACGCUCAUAACACAUAGAUAUUUGAAUUAAUUUUUACAAUCCAACCAUCUUUUCACACGGAAUUUCUUCUUUUUCUAAACCAUGGGCCUGAAGUGACUUUAUAUAUAAAGGAACUGUGAUUAUAUCAGAAAAAAUAUAUAUAAGUCGAAACAAUUUGUUGGCUUUUAUGGUUUUUAUAAAUAUUUCUGUUAUAUAAUAUUGUGCUAUGUUAUAUUAUAUUCAUAGUAUUUAAUGUAAUAUUGUAAUAUAAAUUAUUAGAUUGUCAAAAGUAUAUCUCUAUAUUUAAUUUAUCUUUAUAAUUGAAUUAUACUAAUAUUUAUAUGGUAUCCAACAGCAGCACCAGUGAAUUGGAUGUUUAACACACUCCUUUGAAGGAUUUAUUUUCCUCAGUUAGUUACUUUGUAUAUAUAUAUAUAUAUAUAUAUAUAUAUAUAUAUAUAUAUAUAUAUAUAUAUAUACCGGAGUAAACACAUAAAUGUGAAACAAGGUGGGAGAAAGAGUACUCGAAUACCAGAGGUAGAGUAAAAUGCUUUAUUUAAAAGCAGCAGAAAUUUAACAAAAGCUAUUACUCGGAGUUUCAAGUUUCCGUUCGUCAGACAGUUUUGUUAACAAAACUGUCCGACGAACGGGAACGUGAAACUCCGAGAAACAGCUUUUGUUAAAUUUCUGCUGGUUUUAAAUAAAGCAUAUAUAUAUAUAUAUAUAUAUAUAUAUAUAUAUAUAUAUAUAUAUAUAUAUAUAUAUAUAUAUAUAAGGGUGUUUGAGAGACACCACCAUGCCGAAAUAGCAGUCAAAUCCCUGACUCUAAAGACCACCUUAAAUGUUCAUAUCGCACCAUGAGAUAAGACAGAGGGACAAAAUAGACUAGCAAAAAGAUAUUACUGAAUAAUUCAAGAUCCUGGAUUUCUAGAUUUGCUUCAAAUAAGCUCUGCCUUCAUCAGUUGAAUAAAUCAGAUGGGCACAUAAAUACAAAUAUAUAUAUACAGAACACACGUUAUACUUACAUAUACGAACGUCCAUACAAACAUAUAUAUGCACGUAUGUACAAGGCCAGUUCAAAUUCCCCGCCAACCACCUCAUAAGCACGAUAUGGUCAAAAUAAACACCGCAGUGAAUAUAGUGACGAAUUAUAUAAACUUAUAAAUAAGGAUAAAAUUGAUUUUUAAAUAUCGAUAUUAUCGAGUGGCCAGCAUGGGAAUAAAUACCAUACAAAGGUAAAGGUGGUCUUUAGAGUCAGGGAUUUGACUGCUAUUUCAGACACCCUUAUUUAUAGUUGUAAAAAAUUAUUACUUUUGUAUGGUAUUUAUUCCCAUGCUGGCCACUUGAAAAUAUCGAUAUGUAAAUAUCGAUAUUAUCCUUAUUUAUAAUAUAUAUAUAUAUAUAUAUAUAUAUAUAUAUAUAUAUAUAUAUAUAUAUAUAUAUACAUAUAUAUGUAUGCCUCCCCCACAUCCCAACAGCACAACAUCACACCACACACCACCACACCACACACCACCAUACCACACAACACCACACCGCAUCACACCAUCACGCACACACUAGCAGUGACCACUUCCCAGCCCACACACCUACACAUGCACACACGCACACGUCAAGGUCACCAGCCCUCUUCCACACGCACAUAUAUGCUCUCUUAUACACACUCACGCGCACCUUCAUUUUGGGAUCACCACUACUUUAUUAUCUCUUCUUCUUUCUAGCACUCCUGUGUGACCCCACUGUCCGGCAUUCGCCAUGAUAGAUCGCUAGCCAUUACACAUUCUUUAUUCUCUCUCUCUGUUUCUUUCUGUAUUCCUUUCUGUGGAAGAGCGUAGGCUCGAAACGUUAAAGAUUUUUUCACUUCCCGAGCGUUAAACUAAUACAUCUGUUUGUUCUCUACACCACCUGUCUUCGUCUUUUCUUCUUUUAUUUUUGUGAAUUUUCCCCCUAUAUAUAUAUAUAUAUAUAUAUAUAUAUAUAUAUAUAUAUAUAUAUAUAUAUAUAUAUAUAUAUAUACACACUGGUUUUCGCUGUCUUCCCCUUUUGUUAUUGUAGUAUAUUUAAAUUGCCUGUCGAUAAAUAGUCUCUCUUUAGUUAAAUGUGAUGAUUCUGGAUUGUUUUGCUAGUUUUAUUAAAGCUCUGAUCUGGUUAAAAUGAAAUGACUAAAUUGCUUUAGCCAUCACCAUCACCAUCACCAACGUCAUCAUCAUCAUCGUCGUCGUCAUCAGCGUCAUCAUCAUUAUCAUCAUGACCAUCGUCAUCUUCAUCAUCAUAUCAUCAUCAUCAACAUCACUAUCAUCACCAAGGCUACCAUCAUUAAUGCUAUCGCCACCAUCACACCACCACCACUGUCAUCAUUAUCAUCAUCAGCAGCAGCAGCAGUAGCAGCAUCAGCAACACCGCCACCACCACUAAUAUCACAAACAUUUGCAUCUUCCUCUCCAUUAUUAUCAGCACCAUCUCAACCAUCACUUUCAUCAUUGUCACCAUCGACACCCCUUUUAUCAUCCACCACCGCCUUACUCUCCUCGUUUCCACCCUCUCCUUCACCAUCCCCUUAUCUCUACCUUCCCUUCAUACCUACUUCCCUCUCACACCUCCUCUACCUGAUCUCUCCUCUUCCUUCUCCUCUUUUCCUCCUCACCUCCACUAACUCCACUCCUCUUCUCACCUUCUCUUCCUCUUUUCCUCCUCACCUCCACUACCUCCACUCCUCUUCUCACCUUCUCUUCCUCUUUUCUCCUAUCUUCCCCGCCUUCACAUCAUCAUCAUCAUCAUCAUCAUCUUCAUCAUCAUCAUCUUUAUCGUAUACAUCUUUAUCUCAUCAUUAUCAUCGUCGUUAGCGCCAUCUUUAUCAACAUCAGCAGCAGCACAAUUGCAGUCGCCGCCGCCACCGUUAUCGUCGUCGCCAACAUCUCCACCACCGCUGCCGCCGCCACCGCACCGGUUGAUAUUGUUUUACAAAAUAUCUGUCUUUCCAUUUUUGGCAUUGGUUAGAUUCUGUUUGAACAUAUCUGGCACCAUUUGUGAUAUGAGGCAAUUGUUGCGCAAGAAGCAAUGUCUUGGAAUGGUUACAGUCACUGGUUUUCUUCUGAAUGUUUGGUGAGGCAAGACGUUGUGAUGUGAGCGACAACAUUUUUACUCACACUAACACCACGACUCUUACUCUCUCUCUCUUUCUCUCUCUCUCUUUCUCUCUCUCUCUUUCUCUCUCUCUCUUUCUCUCUCUUUCUUGCACCCUUUCUUUCUCCACAUAAGCAUUAACAUGUGAUGAUCAUCAUCGUCAUCGUCGUUGUCAUAAUCAUCCUCGUCGUCGUCGUCGUCGUCAUCAUCAUCAUCAUUAUCAUUGUUAUGGGUAAGAAAUACCGAUUUUAGUUGCUUUUUCUUCAUGCUAACUGUGAAACUUUAACAGAAACCUUAAACAGAAAGUCCCUUUCUAAGAAUAUCGACGCUUCCAAGGAGGGUCGAGUUUUUGAGCACUCGUAUAAUCUGCCUUAUUCCAGUUGAUAUGAUAGUUUUUUAAGGAAUUGAACCCAAUGAUCCGAUGAUAACUAAUGGAACUACUUUCUCUUUUAUUGUGAGAUGUCGCCGUUUUUUCUCUAUCUCUUUUAAAUCAGAAUAUUUCAACAUGCUUUCUACUUGGUUUAUCUUAUCAGCAUUGUUUGUUGCCACCUAAAAUGAUAUCUGUUUGUCUGAAUGUGAAAAUCCCAUAGCCAAAAUUUAUUAUUAUUAUUGUUAUUAUUAUUAUUAUUAUUAUUAUUAUUAUUAUUAUUAUUAUUAUUAUUAUCAUCAUCAUCAUCAUUAUUAUUAUUAUUAUUAUUAUUAUUAUUAUUAUUAUUAUUAUUAUCAUCAUCAUCAUCAUCAUCAUCAUUAUUAUUAUUAUUAUUAUUAUUAUUGUUGUUGUUAUUAUUAUUAUUAUUAUUAUUAUUAUUAUUAUCAUUAUUAUUAUUAUUAUUAUUAUUAUUAUUAUUAUUAUUGAGUGAGAGAGCAGUGCAUGCCAUCAAAGUGACACUGGGUAAAAUAUACGAAGCCCAUUUUACCCUUCAUGACUACUCGUCUGAUAAGGGUACACCAGGUACAUGCAUCACAACCAGGUAUUGUUUUAGUCUUUAAGUUCCACAUUUUGCUAAUUUCUAUUUCAAGAUCUUUAUACUUGCUCAGUUUUUGGUAGGUCUUGACAGAUACGUUUAUAUCGAUUGGGACAGUCAUAUCAAUGAGGAGGCAUGAUUUUUGUCCGAAGUAUUUCAUUAUAAUCUCUGGCCUAUUUGCAUCUAUCUGUCUGUCAGUUUGAAUGGUGAAGUUCCAGAGGAGUGAAAUGUGAUCAUUUCCAAGCACUGGAGGUUGUUUGUGUUCCCACUAGUUUUUAUCAUGGGGCAGGUCCAAGUCUUUGCAAAUUACCCAGUGAAUAUAUUGUGCUACUCUAUCAUGCCUGCUGAGAUACUCUGUAGGCGCAAGAAGACUGCACAUGGAGACAAGAUGAUCAAUGGUUUCAUUUUGUUGUUGACAUACACAUGUUGGGAAGCUACCGUUCUUUAAUAUGUUGGUCUGGUAGUUUCUUGUAGGUAAGCAUUGAUCUUUGCCUACUAUAAUAAACCCUUCUGUUUCUGAUUUUAAGCCAGAAGCCAUUAGCCACUGACGGGCAGGGGCUUUGUCAACAUCGGCACUACUAGCUCUCUUUGGAUAUUUGCCAUUGAGAGGUUUUUCUUGUCAUUUAUCAGUAAGAAUAUCUAAAAGGCAGUAGUUUUAGCACGGGUUUUCAAACGCUUAGCUUUUUCUGUGUUUGUUUCUAGUUCGUCUAAUUCUGAAAUUUGUUGUAUUUGGAAUUCACUUUGAUAUUCCUUUGCCUGUUUUGUUACUGAGUAUGAUGCUUUCUUAUUUUCAUGUUUUGAGACAAGUUUUAACAUCCAGUGAUCAGAGUUUUUCAGGUAGGUGUCUAAGCCAUUUGUGGCAAUCUUCAUCGUCAAUUCCAGUUGUAAAAUUCCACGGCUUCCCUCUUUUCUUAGCAGAUAAAGUCGUUCUAUAUCUGCUUUAGGGUGGUGCAUUCUAUGCAUUGUCAACAAUUUUCGUAUUUUUCUGUCAAGAUUACAUAUUUCAGUAAUUGACCAUCAUCAUCAUCAUCAUCAUCGUCGUCGUCGUCAUCGUUAUCGUCGUCAUCAUCAUCAUCAUCAUCAUCAUCGUCAUUGUUGUCGUUGUCAUUAUCAUCAUCAACAUCGUCGUCGUCGUCGCUGUCGUCAUCGUUACUGUCGUCGUAGUCGUUAUUAUUCUCAGUGUAAUCGUCAUUAUUAUUAUUAUUAUUAUUAUUAUUAUUAUUAUUAUUAUUAUUAUUAAAUGUAAAGAAAUGAAAUGUUCCUUGCGUCGAAAGUACGAGAUCCUAUUGACCAGAGAAUCAGUGGUUCGCAUCCUUUAACCUGCACUACAAUGUGUCCCUAACCAAGACACUCAGUGUAUGUGGAUCAAAUCCCCUUGUCUGUAAAUAAAUCUGUCUUAGUUAUUGCAACUCGCCAUGGAGCUUCAGAGAGCACUGGGUAGUGAUCUUGGAUAGUAGAUAGUGACUUUAGAUAGUGAUCUUGGUAAAUAGGUAUGAUUUUUGAUAGUAUGUAGGGACCUUAGAUAAUUAAUAAUGACCUCAGAUCAUGAAUAAUGACUUCGAGUAGUGGGUAAUUAUCUCGGAUAGUUGAUAUUCCUCUUUGGUAGUGGUUAGUGACAUUGGAUAGGGAGUAAUGAUUUGGGGGUAGUAAGUAUUGAUCUUGGGUAUUGUGUAGAGACUACGAAUAGUAGAUAGUGGUCUUAAGUAGUCGACUGUGACCUUAGAUAGUGAAUGGUGAGCAGAAAUCCUGGAUGGUGAGCAUUCUUCUUGAAUAAUAGGUAGUGAACUUAUGAUGUGGAUUGUGACCUCAAUCAUUACAAAAGAAUACGACGACCCUACAUUACACUGUUUCGGAUGCAGCUGGCCCCUGCUCAUAGUACCUGGAAUGAACUCCUAUCCAGGGUAACGGAUUCACUUCCCUUCGACUUCGAAAUACUGGGUUAAUAUCAGAUACAGCCGCUACUAGGCCAUAUUGAGGAGGGGGGAUGGAAUGCAAAACUGACGACCUUGUCUUCAGGACUUAGAUCUCACCAGACUGUAAAUAUGCUCCCAAUCUUUCAGUAGUUCAACUCAAAAGUUAUCAACGACGAACAGUUCAUUUAACCUAUAGGCUGAAAUCUUCCCAGGAAUAUAAAACAUGGAAGGGAAUUUGUUCCACCAAACUGUCUUAGAUUCCUGACAUCAAAAGCAAGACUCAGAUAAUCCAAAAAAUCACUAAGAAGGUGAAAAAAAUUAUAAAUAAUAAUGAUUUUAUGAUUGGCUACAAAACAUUAGAUUUGUCGGAGAAAAUAAAUCAAUCCGAUACGAUCUUGUAGAGAUGAAAGGGGAAAAAUCAAUCCCAAUGAGAUUUCAACCGAGACCACAGUAGGGCUGCAACCUUUUUCCUUAUUUUUUUUCUUAUUUUUUUUUUUUAGAUAUAUAUUUCGGUUGAAGUAUUAACGUUUCAGUCAAUUCCGGUUUGGAUGUGAAUAAUAAGACUGUAGAGCAUAACAGAUAUUGGUUUCAAAUUUUGGCAGAAGCCAGCAAUUUCAAUGAGUAUAUCGAUUACAUCGAUCCCAGUGCUGAAAUGGUACUUAUUUUAUCGGCCUUGAAAGGAUGAAAGGCAAAGUCGACUUCGGCAGAAUUUGAAAUCAGGACGUAAAGACGGGCAAAAUGCAGCUAAACACAAUAAAUAUUAAAAAUAGUAUCGUGUUAUAAACUAACCUUUUCCAGAAACACUUUUCAUUACUUUUUUCUAUGGUACGACUUACCUCAAUAAGUAGAGUAACGGGCAACAUGUACAUCUUACAAAACCAUAUUCAGCAAUACAUACUAAUUAUUAAACUUACUAUUAAGUCCACCUUCCUAAUGAAACAUAACUGUUAUUAUCCGAAGCUUCUAAGAGUGAAUACACACAGAGGACUAUAUAAAUAUAAUAGAUUGCCAUUUGGUCUGAAGGUCGCACCUGAAAUAUUUCAACAGUUCUGUCUUUAUGUUCUGAGUUCAAAUUCUGCCGAAGUCGACUUUGCUUUUCAUCCUUUCUGGGUUGAUAAAGUAAGUACCAGUUGCGUACUGGGGUCGAGCUAAUCGACUGGUCCCCUCCCCCAAAAUGUCGGGCCUUGUGCCUAGAGUAGAAAAGAAUAUUUCAACAGGUUAUGGAUGCGAUGUUGAUGGACUGUCAACUUGCAAUUCCAUACUUCGAUGAUGUAUUAAAAGUGAAUCUCGUGAUCAGCAUAUUGAACAUGUCAAAUGUGAUUUUCAAAAACUAAGAGAUUACGGUUUCACACCCAGUGAAGAGAAACGUGAAUUUUUUUUGCCAAAAAUUAAAUAUCUAGGACAAAUUGUAGAUAAAAAUGGAAGACGACCUGGCCCGUCGAGGGCAGACGCAAUUAGUGAUAUUACAAGCUUUUCUUAGCCUAGCGAGCUAUUAUCAAAAUUACAUACCAAACAUGUAUGAAUUGAGAGCUCCACUUAAUUUGCUAAAGAAAGACGCCAAAUAGAAUUGAUGAAAGGCGUUUCAAGAUAAUUAAAAAAUAUUAAUUUCGGAUUUGUCACUGGCUCAUUUCGAUCCUGCAGCAGAGAUUGUAGCUUCUAACGCUUCUGAAUAUGGUGUAGAAUCAGUUUUGCUAUACAAAUAUAAAGACGGUAAUAUGAAGGCGGUGGUUCAUGCCUCAAGUGCUCUGAUUGCAGCAGAAAAAAAAUACACUCAGAUAGAGAAAGAAACUCUAGCGAUUAUUUUUACCGUGAAGAAAUUUCACAGAUUUCUCCACUGUAGAAAAUUUCGGCUUCAGAUGGACCACCGACUGUUACUAUCAAUUUUCGGAUCGAAGACAGGAAUUCUUACCCAUACAGUUAACAGAUUACAACGCUGGGGUACAAUAUUGUUAAAUUACAACUUUAAGAUGGAGUGCAUUCCUUCUAAGAAAAUUGACCAUGCGGAUUGUUUAUCUAGGCUAAUUCCGAAGAAUGCAGAACCGCUCGAAGAUACGGCGAUAGCUGCAUUACAAUCAGAAAAGAAAAUUAAAAACGUUAUGUGCAAUGUCAAUCAGGAGUUGCCAGUGGCUGUACAAGAUAUAAAAAGUAAAUCAGCGGAGGACAAAUACAUCAUAAAAAUGAAGGAAACCUUCAAAAAUAAACAAAAGUAGAACACGAAGGCGACAUAUUUUUUACUCUGCGAUGAUGUAUUAAUGUACACACGAAGAGUUACGUGUAUUGACCGACAAUGGACCAGGACAUUGAAAAUUUGGUGAAAUUAUGUGGAGGUUUUGCGUUAGCAGCCAAGGCACCACCGGUAAAAUACCAAUCGUGGCCUGAGACGGAUCGUCCAUGAUCCAGGGUACACAGAGACUACGCUGGACCAGUGAAUGGCGCGUACUACUUGAUCAUUGUUGAUAGCUUUACUAAGUGGCCGGAAGUAUGUAGGUGCAGUCAACCUACCUCGGAGGCAACAAUGAAGUUCCUGCACGAACUUUUUGCUCGAUACGGUGUUCCGGACACCAUAGUAUCAGACAAUGGAACAUAAUUUACAGGAUACAAGUUCAAGAAAUCCUGCAAAAUGCAUACGUUCAAACGCGUUUACUCCACCCUACCACCCAAGGUCAAAUGGGCAAACAGAACGAUUCGCGAGCGCUAAAAAAGGCAAGGAACGAGUUAGGAAAUGAUGAAUCGCUAACUAAAUUUUUAUGGGUGUACAGAAUAACGCCCAAUCCGAUUACCAGUUGAGGCAAGUCGCCUGCAGAGCUAAUGUUCGCACGAAAGACUAAAUAGAUUUUCGACAAAUUGUUGCCAAAGGAAAAAACGUUUAGAGAAAAUACAAAAAAUUCAACUAAACAUUUUGAUGUCGGAGACAAAGUCUAUUUUAAAGUAUUCAAGGGCGGUAAAGAGAGUUGGCAGGAUGGUGUAGUGACUAAAAGAAUUGGAAACAUUAUGUAAUUUAAUUAAAGGUCAGCGAUGGGAGCAUAAAUGACACCUAAAUCAACUAAAAAUCAGACACACAGAAGAAAGGAAGUAAGUUCCAAUGGAAAUGUUUUACGAUAUGUUCGAUUCGCCAGCACCGAAAGAGAUUGAACCUAGAAAGAGCAGUAACAGAAAACGGAAACAGACUAAACAUUUAGAAAUAAUUCCUAAGCGGAAAAGGUACUGAACUCUCCAUCAUCAUCAUCAUCAUCAUCAUCAUCAUCAUCCAGUGUUUUAAAUCCGGGUCUUGUCCCCGUAAACGGGGGUGGCCGGAUCUACCUCAAUGCCAUAGCAACCGCCUUCACACCAUGUCACCAUCUUGCCCAGUUUUGGGCGUCCUUCCUUCUCAAGUCAAUUCUUCCAAUCUCCUCCUCCACCUGUCCCCUCCACGUUUUCCUAGGUCUACCUCGCUUUCGCGGUCCAUUUACCUAAAACUCAAGUACCCUCCUCAGAACAUGCUCCUCAUCCCUCUCCAACAAAUGCCCAUACCACUGCACUCCAUUCGCCCUAGCCAGCUGUUCCACCGAUUCCUCCAACCCCAUCAUCCCCAUCAAGUCCUCAGUCCUCCUCUUAUCAAACAGCUUCACACCACGUAUUUCUCGUACCAUUGUUCUCUCGGUUCUUCUCAAAAUUGCCAUCUCUCCCCCCAUCAGACACCAUGUCUCACUCCCAUACAGCAUUGCAGCUCCCACGCAACUCCUACAGACCCUUUCUUUCAUCUUCAAUGAGAACCUUUUCCCAUAUAACAACGCUCCACAUUCCCUGAACAUCACCCAGCCAAGUCUUGCUCUUGCUGUCACAGAUGCUUCACAUCCACAACUUAUAUCCACCCUAUCUCCCAAAUAACAAAGCCCUCUCACCGUUUCCACCUCGUCACGUAGCGUUUCCAGUGGUUCUGCCAGCCCUCCAGCUCCCUUCUCACAUCUUCCACAGGUAAACUCUCUUGCCAGUCUUGGGGUCACCUUCUUCAUUUUCGUACAUCUAACAUGAAUCCAUUUCUCACAUCUCGUACACAACACUGUAUUUGCAAUUACCCUCCUCCCACAUACACCACAUGGAUCCACCUUACUCUCUAACACUUCUUUUUCCACCCCGCUUACCAUCACCUUUGUCUUCCCGAGGUUUAUCUUCAAACCUUUGUUCUCAAACGCCUCCUUCCAUUUCUAAAGCUUCUCCCUCAAUUCCUCCAUCGUCUCGCUCAUCGGAACAAGGUCAUCUGCAUACAGUAUCUCCAUUAUCAGUCCCUCUCUUGCACUCUCCGUCACCAUAUCAACCACUAUUGCAAACAACAACGGUGACAACACAGAUCCCUGAUGCACACCAACUUUCACUGCAAACUCCUCCGACAGCUUUGAUCCAAUUCUAACUCUUAUCUUUACCCCAUCAUACAAACUCAUCACUGCCCUCUCUAUUACCUCUAAUGCACCUAUCUUCCUCAAUGCCCACUUAAUCACCUUCCUUGGAACCCUAUCAAAUGCCUUCUCCAGAUCAACGAAGCACAUGUACAACUCCUUCUCCUUAUCUCGGUAUUCCUCUUGCAAUCUCCUUACAAUGAACACUGCAUCUAUUGUCCCUUUUCCUGGCAUAAAACAAAAUUGCAUUUCGUCCACAUCCACCCCUUUCCAAAUUCUCCUCUCCAACACCCUUUCCACUAUCGUCAUUGCAUGCUCCAAUAACUUCACCCCCCUAUACGCCACUCAUCGCAACCCCCUUCCCCUUGAAGAUCGGUACCACCACACUCAGUGCCCAAUCAUCCUGGCAUUCCUCUUCCAUGCAGCACACCCUGACAGAGCUCCGUCAUCGCAGCAAUCCCUAUCUCUCCACUUGCAUUUUGAUGGACCAGCUGCCUUUCCUGUUUUCAUUUCCUUCAUUGCCUCCACUAUUUCCUUCUGACUAACCCUCUCCACUUGCUCCUUCACCACAGCAACUUCCACCCUCUGAUCCCAUUCAUUCUCUUCGUUCAUAAUUCCCUCCAAAUGCUCCUUCCAAACUCUCCCCCUGUCCUUCUCAUUAAAAUUCAACCUUCCAUCACUCCCCUUCAUGCAUCUUUCUCCCUUAACAUCUCUUCCAUCUUUUUCAUUGGUUUAAUAGACCUAAAUUGAUUUAAUAAACCUAGGGAAGCAAAAUUUCAAAAAGAGAGGGAACUGUUGGAAAAAAAAAAGAAAAUAAUAAUAAAAUAAAUUCGUUUCCUAUGGAAGUCGAAAUCUCAAAAGGGGAGAUGUGGAGAGAGUCAUGAUACCCACUGCAAGAAUUGACUUGACCGAACGACUAUAAAUAGUAGCGGUCUCAGUGAAAAGCAGAGAAGGCGUUAAUCGUAGUAAGUCAUAAGGUGUCGUUUUGGUAGUUUGUCGUAAUAUCGUUUGUUAGUUCGUGGAGAGUUCGUGGAGAGUUUGUUGGAUCGUUACGUUGUCGUUACCCUGCUUCGUUAUAUAUUUUACUGUUACUACACGGUUAGAGUGUAAAAAAAUAUCAUCAUAACAAUUGGUGAUACAACACAUAUUAUAACCGUCAAAAAAUCAAAUAGUCUCCAUUGGCAUGACAAACAAAAUUUGCAUCUCAAAGACUAGUGUUCUUCUUCUGAACAAAACAAUACUUCCUUCCCGAUCAUUUGCUGACACUCUACAAAGAUAUAUUCUAUUAACAUAGAGUUUUGCAAUUACUCCACACCCAAAACCUCUAGGCUAGAUCGAGAAUAAAAAAAAUGGGGUUGCCUGACUUAAAAACCCCGAACGACUGGAAACAUUUAUCGUUGACUGUGAGAAAAAGAUUCAGCAUAUCAUUAGAACAAUACGCCAUGCAUACAUUGCCUGCAAUAUUGAUAAUAAAGGCAACCACUCCUUCACCUAGAUUAGAUUCUACAUCCCAUCCUGCUUUGAAGCAUUUGUUUUUGCUAUCCAGGAAUAGGUGAUAGCUACUAAUCAAUAAUAAUUGCUGACAAAAAACAUCGAUUCUACCAUAGCAGUGUAGAAGAUAUCGCUUACAUCAUCGCCAGUUUCUCAACAACUGAAAAGUAGUACCUUCGUUUGAAACAUGACCACAUAAUCUUGUUAUUUACAAUGUUGCCUGCAGGAGGGAUUGUCCUGAGAGUCAUACCAGGAAUUAUAACAGAAUCUAAAGGCAUCUACAGCUUUAAAUAUUAGAAAUACUGGUGGGACAUACAUUUAAAAACAACAAUCUGCCGCAAAUACAAUAGACCUGUAAUUGUUCUAUAGAACAGAACACGAAAGUCAUUCACUGUUUUUGUUGCAGAGAUUAGUUGAUCAACAGGUGUGAAUGUCUCCACUAAGGUGGCGGCGAACUAAUCUGGAACUUAGAACCAUUUGUACGUGUUAUCACAGGCAUUCUUGUACCACAGGUACUUUUGUAUCACAGGAACCCUUGUAUCGCAUCUGUACAUGUGAUUACUGAUAUACAGGACGGCUGACUGUUUAAGAAGUUCCCUCCACAAUCGUGAGGUACCAUGUUUAACACUUUGUGUCUGAGUUUGCUUGGUAUCUUGUAGGUUAGAUAGAAAUGAGUUCUACCAGUCCUUAACACUUAUAUGAUACUACGUACCGAUAGCUGAAGUGGUCUGUGGCACAUGUAGCUCAAUGUAAUCUAAGUUGAUCUACGUUUAAUCUAUAGGGCUGUCAGAUAAAUACGCUCGUUUCAUUCCAGUGUUGUUUGAAUUAACGCGAAAAAUUUAUUUAUCGUAGUCUUUUAUGGUUAUUACAGUUCUAUUCUUCCCAUACAACUUUUGUUUAUCGUUUCUGAGUUUUGAAUAAAUUUUUCCUUUUCAGAUAUAUGUCGAAUAGAGUGCCAAAGAAGAAAAAAAUGAAUAUUUUCCACAGCUGCUUCUCUACGCUUUCAGUCAAGUUUCCAAAGUUGCCAAAGUCACUCGAGAUAUUUGUGCUGUGUACAGAAAAGGGGCUAUUACUCAAAACACUUCACAGAAAUGGUUUUCAUGCAUUAACGUGAAAUUUGAUCUCAGACACUGCGUUUCGGCCGACCUGCUCAGUUCAAUGACGAUCGAUUGGACAACCUUCUCAACAAAG